UAGCGGCGAGUGAGCGGCAAAAGCUCAAAUUUGAAAUCUGGCGCCUUCGGUGUCCGAGUUGUAAUUUGAAGAUUGUAACCUUGGGGUUGGCUCUUGUCUAUGUUUCUUGGAACAGGACGUCACAGAGGGUGAGAAUCCCGUGCGAUGAGAUGCCCAAUUCUAUGUAAGGUGCUUUCGAAGAGUCGAGUUGUUUGGGAAUGCAGCUCUAAGUGGGUGGUAAAUUCCAUCUAAAGCUAAAUAUUGGCGAGAGACCGAUAGCGAACAAGUACAGUGAUGGAAAGAUGAAAAGAACUUUGAAAAGAGAGUGAAAAAGUACGUGAAAUUGUUGAAAGGGAAGGGUUUGAGAUCAGACUCGAUAUUUUGUGAGCCUUGCCUUCGUGGCGGGGUGACCCGCAGCUUAUCGGGCCAGCAUCGGUUUGGGCGGUAGGAUAAUGGCGUAGGAAUGUGACUUUACUUCGGUGAAGUGUUAUAGCCUGCGUUGAUGCUGCCUGCCUAGACCGAGGACUGCGAUUUUAUCAAGGAUGCUGGCAUAAUGAUCCCAAACCGCCCGUCUUGAA
Molecule: ribosomal RNA, 557 nt
Filed under: Meyerozyma guilliermondii
Lineage: Eukaryota; Fungi; Ascomycota; Pichiomycetes; Serinales; Debaryomycetaceae
Description: partial large subunit ribosomal RNA
Rfam family: Eukaryotic large subunit ribosomal RNA
Source: RNAcentral